This 440-nucleotide ribosomal RNA is filed under the name uncultured bacterium. RNAcentral describes it as "partial 16S ribosomal RNA". It matches the Rfam family "Bacterial small subunit ribosomal RNA", at positions 338 to 795 of the family's 1533-position model. The record is from RNAcentral.
CCUACGGGAGGCAGCAGUGGGGAAUAUUGCACAAUGGGGGAAACCCUGAUGCAGCGACGCCGCGUGAAGGCAGAAGUCUUUCGGUAUGUAAACUUCUAUCAGCAGGGCAGAAAAUGACGGUACCUGACUAAGAAUCCCCGGCUAACUACGUGCCAGCAGCCGCGGUCAUACGUAGGGGGCAAGCGUUAUCCGGAUUUACUGGGUGUAAAGGGAGCGUAGGCGGCGAUGCAAGUCAGAAGUGAAAGCCCGGGGCUCAACUCCGGGACUGCUUUUGAAACUGUGUUGCUAGAUUGCAGGAGAGGUAAGUGGAAUGCCUAGUGUAGCGGUGAAAUGCGUAGAUAUUAGGAGGAACACCAGUGGCGAAGGCGGCUGACUGGACUGUAAAUGACGCUGAGGCUCGAAAGCGUGGGGAGCAAACAGGAUUAGAUACCCGAGUAGUC